Molecule: ribosomal RNA, 253 nt
Filed under: uncultured bacterium
Lineage: Bacteria
Description: partial 16S ribosomal RNA
Rfam family: Bacterial small subunit ribosomal RNA
Source: RNAcentral
UACGAAGGGGGCUAGCGUUGCUCGGAAUUACUGGGCGUAAAGGGCGCGUAGGCGGAUAGUUUAGUCAGAGGUGAAAGCCCAGGGCUCAACCUUGGAAUUGCCUUUGAUACUGGCUGUCUUGAGUACGGGAGAGGUGAGUGGAACUCCGAGUGUAGAGGUGAAAUUCGUAGAUAUUCGGAAGAACACCGGUGGCGAAGGCGGCUCACUGGCCCGUUACUGACGCUCAGGCGCGACAGCGUGGGGAUCAAACAGG